Molecule: ribosomal RNA, 588 nt
Filed under: uncultured bacterium
Lineage: Bacteria
Description: bacterial SSU rRNA
Rfam family: Bacterial small subunit ribosomal RNA
Source: RNAcentral
ACUCCUACGGGAGGCAGCAGUGGGGAAUUUUGGACAAUGGGCGCAAGCCUGAUCCAGCAAUGCCGCGUGCAGGAUGAAGGCCUUGGGGUUGUAAACUGCUUUUGUACGGAACGAAAAGCCGUGGGUUAAUACCUUGGGGUCAUGACGGUACCGUAAGAAUAAGCACCGGCUAACUACGUGCCAGCAGCCGCGGUAAUACGUAGGGUGCAAGCGUUAAUCGGAAUUACCGGGCGUAAAGCGCGCGCAGGCGGUCUCGUAAGUCAGAGGUGAAAUCCCCGGGCUCAACCUGGGAACUGCCUCUGUGACUGCAAGGCUAGAGUACGGCAGAGGGGGAUGGAAUUCCGCGUGUAGCAGUGAAACGCGUAGAUAUGCGGAGGAACACCGAUGGCGAAGGCAAUCCCCUGGGCCCGUACUGACGCUCAUGCACGAAAGCGUGGGGAGCAAACAGGAUCAGAUACCCUGGCAGUCCACCCCCUAAACGAUGUCAAAGGGUUGUUGGGUCUUAAAGCAUUCAGUAACGAAGCUAACGCGUGAAGUUGACCGCCUGGGGAGUACGCCCGCAAGGUUGAAACUCAAAGGAAUUGACGG